AUUCUCACUCUUUCAAACUCGUCUCUCCUCCUCUCCAACGAAACAAACAGCUCGCCGGAAAUCGCUCCGCCGCGUCGGAGGCGGCGGAGCUCGGCCAAAUUCAAAAUUCAAACACGCACCCUCAACUACUUCACCUCCUCUCUUCAUUUUCGACCUCAAUUCCUCGUAACAAGGCUCAAAUGCCUCAGAUCGAAAAAAAGGGGAAAAACAAACCCUAACUAAGAGAGACUCUAAAUUCCAAUCAUCAAAGCCUUAGUUCGUUCAAAUCAGGAGAAGAUCGAAGAGGAACGGUAAUGACCGUGACGGAUAUGCAAGAAUGACGAGUAACUUGAAAGAAGAAACCUUACCUGGAAUGACGAACACACGCGAAUUGAAGAGAAAUCCGGAGAGGAGAGUCCUAAGCGCGACACUGCGAAAUAGACGCAAGAGGAUGAAAUGAUCUUCCCGGGCUGCAUGUUUGGAUUAGUUAGGAACUCCAUUUGGUUGCUUGAAGGUGUAUGGCCCUGGUUCGAAAAGUUGCAGCAGGGAUAGGAGUCCUUGCAUUCAGUGAUGUGGUGAUCUUCUUUCAUGAGGUUAUGUUGGUGUUGAAUGUGCAGGUUCAUAAAGAAAGAGAAUGAAGCUGAAUUCUGGUGCUGAGCUGGGAGAUGAAGAAGCAAAUGCUUAUUGGACUUGAAUUGAAGAUUGGAGAUUAGGAUAAAGGCACUAGGACUCAAUGUUUGGAUAUUUUGUAAUGGAUAUGUUUGUAUUUGGACUGUAUUAGAUAUUUUUGUAUGGAAAUUGAAUGGUGUAAUGGUUUUGAAAUCAGGUUUUGAAAAUAUAAUGAAGUUUGAUGAUGGUAUCAAUGUA
Vicia villosa (hairy vetch) is the source of this 846-nucleotide long non-coding RNA. RefSeq lists it as uncharacterized. Lineage: Eukaryota; Viridiplantae; Streptophyta; Magnoliopsida; Fabales; Fabaceae. The transcript is spliced from 3 exons. The record is from RefSeq and is a predicted model, not a curated record.